UGCGUAGGUGGUGGGGUAAGUCUCGUGUGAAAGCUCGCGGCUCAACCGCGAAAAGUCACGGGAUACUAUUUUGCUGGAGGGUUGGGAGGGGGGACUGUAAUUCUCGGUGUAGCAGUGAAAUGCGUAGAUAUCGAGAGGAACACCAGUGGCGAAGGCGAGUCCCUGGACAACACCUGACACUGAGGCACGAAAGCUGGGAGCAAACA
RNAcentral lists this ribosomal RNA (206 nucleotides) under uncultured bacterium. Its description in RNAcentral is "partial 16S ribosomal RNA". It matches the Rfam family "Bacterial small subunit ribosomal RNA", at positions 568 to 774 of the family's 1533-position model. The record is from RNAcentral.